UAGCAGUCUUCUUGAAAACCUCACAAAGCUUCAAGACUGAUUUUUUUUUUAAUCAUUCACAGCCCACCUCCAUAUAUAAAGCAACCUUCUUAGGCUUGGUUUUUUUUUCUUCCCUUGCUUGUAGACUUGUCUUAUAUCACUAAAACCCAGGCCCAUGGAAGCAAUAACUGUAUUGGUCAUGUUAACUUCUGAAGCCCCAGCUCCUCAUGCCUUCACAAAGCUUCAGAAACCCAGAGGUCAUUGUAUCUGAAUAUCUGAACAGCCUUACUUUCAAGAGACACAACCAGGAAUUCACUGGCUUUGGGGAAUAUCAGGAUACAUUAACACCACCUAGCUGCAGUGCUUCCCACACCUGUCACAACUCUAGCAACUCUCUUCUCAG
RNAcentral lists this long non-coding RNA (382 nucleotides) under Fukomys damarensis (Damara mole-rat). RNAcentral's name for it is "lncRNA (ENSFDAG00000026125.1)". The record is from RNAcentral. Lineage: Eukaryota; Metazoa; Chordata; Mammalia; Rodentia; Bathyergidae.